GGCCACUUGCAGGCACUCAGGCACUGUGGGGGAAUGUUCUCAGAGAAGACCCCGGGAUCAUCGCUAACCUUUUGAUGAAUUUGUAAAGAUCACGUUUCAAAUCUCUUUCACAGCGCAUUAUUUCUUGUAUGCACUCCGUAAUUCUUUGUCACAAUUCACAAGAGACUACUUUGGAUCUGAAUGGAAUGCUGACAGGAAACAAGGCGGCCAUGUUUUCUCCUCAAAGGGCACAUGGGCUAAAGUUUUCCUGUGUGGUAAAGCGGAAGAAGAGUCUGCACUGCCGGUGUUCAUCGCCACUCUUAUACCUUCUCUAUAAUUUCUGAUAAAAUAAAAUUUUGUCAACUGAGAUGC
This 351-nucleotide long non-coding RNA is filed under the name Mus musculus (house mouse). RNAcentral describes it as "long non-coding RNA chr2:67526260-67526611". The record is from RNAcentral. Lineage: Eukaryota; Metazoa; Chordata; Mammalia; Rodentia; Muridae.